UGAGAAACAUAAUAAACAGUCUAAGCAGUUUACCAUUGAAACUGUUUCUCAGAUUUCCCCAUAGGGCUGUGGUAUGUGCUCUCACCCUUGCUGUUCCCCUCUGCCCAUGCAGCUCCCCUGUCCAGGAGACACACGGGAGGAGGAACAGUAGCAAAGUUAGAUCUCCGGAUGAAAGUAAUGAGGAUAGUUCAAGCCACGGGGAAAUCCAGAAGGGCGAGGGAAACCUGGUGCCUGUAAGGCCGGUGAGACACUGCUCUCAGACUGUCCCUGGGUCCCCUAACUCUCCCUGAGCCACAAAUAAUAACCUGCUGGGAAGGUGAGCCAGCUGUCUGCCAGCAUUUCACUCAUUUGCAAAGAACCCCCUAUUCUAGAUUACCUCUGCCACUGCCCAGGGAAAAGGGAAUGCCGUAAGGUCACCUUUCUAAACCACCGUCUUACUCCGUGAGGUGUUGAGGGCUGUUGGAGGCUAAGGCUUUACUCCUACCUCCCCAUACACUGUUGAUGGUUCAUCCCCCACCAGUGGUCUUUCAGUUUGUUUUCCAUUAAAGGCUGUUUUCUCUGAAGGGAGCCCAGGGUCAGACCUCCUGUCUUAAUAGUGAUCAGGCUUUCCGUUUAUAUAGUAUUUUCUAGUGUAAAAGUGCUUUCAUAUACAAUAUUUCAUUAUAAUCUCAAAGCAAACCUACACGAGGACUAUCCCGGGGUCAUAGUUCAGAAAACUGAGUUGCACAAUGACUCUAUUCACAGAGCCGGUUGUAGAGCAGAUACCCAAACCCAAAUGUCUACAUUCCGAAUCAGGUGCUUUUUCUUCCCCAGACUUUGCCAAUUUUUCUAUUAGAAUGUGUCCAUUCUUUUAGCAGUAUUAUGUCCUUUCUCAACCCUCAAAUAUCUGGACCUAGUUAAUUUGUAAAGGACUUCGCUAAAGGUCCAGCAAUUAAACUGAGAGUUCAUCUCCCGUAAGGAACCACUCAGCCUGAUUGUGGAUGCUCACAAGACUCCAGAGGGGUCCGAGGGAUUUGCUGUGGCCACGCCUUCCCAAAAUAUUUAUUCUCUUCUUGUCACAGUUUUUCAUCUUUCGAUUGCCUGAUUCCCACUUCAUCUGUUGUUUGACUUUUGUGGACUUUCCUUUUUCUUUUCUUCUCUCUCUCUCUCUUUUUAAUAAUGAUUCCUCUCUGACCUAUCUUGCUCCAUUUCAGCUUGAUCAUAUAGAUCCAUAUUCCUAUUUCUAAUCUUUCUUAAAAGACGUAUCUAGUAAGUGCAUCAUUUAGAAAUAUGUAACUCCCAAUUGCCUCUGGGAUAAAUUCUAAUCUCCUUAGUUUACAUAUAUCCUUGAUUACCUCUCCAAUUUCAUGUCUUAGCACUAUUCAUUUCACUGACCUUAUUCUCACAAUUCCCCAUAUUUACCGUUCCAUCUCUUCUCUCUCCCACUCUUUAGAUCAACCCAGGCUCCCCACCCAGUAUAUCAACCAUCCCCCUUCUUUGCUUUCUUAUUCCUACCUAUCCUUCCAGAUACACCUCCUUUUCUGGAAGGGUUUUCCUUGAUCUCCCCGACUGGGUGGGAUGCCCUUCCUUUGGUCCCGGUAGCGUCCUGUGCACAUAUCUGUCGUGCACUGACUAAUGACAUUGAAGGGAUCUAUGUUUCAGUCACCCCAGCCCCCUAGAUUGUAAGCUUCUCAAGGACAGGAUCCAUGCUUUUGUCCUUGCUUUCUUUGUACUUUAGUAGUGUAUAAGAUACUUAAUACACAUUCAUUAAAUCCAUUACUUGGUUCCCUCUAACCUAACUCUAAAGAUCAGGAAGAAGGCCUGCUCUUUUGUUGUCCUUUGUAGUUCUUUGGGAAAGCUCUUUAAGCUCAGCAUUUGUGGGUCGGGGAGGAAGACUGGAGUAUUGAGGCCGGACACACAGGCUAACUCAGGAGCUUCUCAUUGAAAAAGUGCAUUACCAAGACCUGACUCUGCUCUUACUUUGGGACCCUGACAUCCCUGGGUCUCCCGAGCUCUCCAACCAAGAUACUUAAAGGUAAUGAGAUCAUGAUGUGUGAGUGUUUUAAAAACUUGUGCUGUUCAAACAGAAAUCAUUAGUGUCCCUUCAUCAUAUUCCCAGUAGGCUACUCAUCUCUUCCCUUCCCUGGUAUAUUUCCCAUCCUUUAUUUUUGUGGAUCAAACUAUUAAGUGAGGCGAAGGGUUUAUUUUGAAGUUCAAGUCAACCAAUUCUUGUUCAGUGAUAGGCUGUGGAUACCAUGUAAAUACUAGGCUGUUACCUCCGUAUUCACUGCCCUGUCAUUUCUGGGUUCUUGGCCCUUGCCAGGUAUCUCUAAAAGCCCUAGAAGGAAGGCCCUCAAUUCCCAUUCCAGCCCCUAAAUGAAAAUGGCAUCACCAUGCGAAGAGGUGAGGUAAAAAUGAGGAACGGAGGACACUGUCAUGUCGCCCUGUUUUUCCCAUCCCCUGGCUGCUUGGGUCUUCCCUAUCAGCUUUUAAACUCCCUGGGUAACCAGUUGCCAGUAGCCUUCCCCAAGCCAGCUCAAGCAGCAUGUGUUGAUAGGUGCCAGCAGUGUGCUGGCUCCAGUGGGAUUCCUCUCUGCAAAGCUGCUGGCUCAGCUAAGCUGUUGUCUGUUUCCCUAUUCUUCUGCUUGGAACUUUCAUAGCCAGUCAAGCAUAGAAUUGCAUCCAUUCUUCUGAAAUGGCUGCCGGGCCUAAUUUUUCAUUGGCUUGGCCAAGAUCCUAUUACCUGUAAUUAUGUCAUACAGGCUGAAUGGUAAAGUUUGAUAGGCCUCACUGCCCUCCCGAGACUAGUGUUCACGUCCCUGCCUGGCUGUUGGGACUGGGGACAGAAUAAGGUAGAACAAGGUUUAGGGCCACAAGAGAUUUGGCCUCCUUUGGGACAUGUAAGGAAGGCCUCAAGGAUAUAAUUCUGUCUUAGGGAAGAAAAUCCUUUUCAGCAGAGGGAUUCUUCCUUUCCCUGGGGAAUUGGUCCUUACUACUGUAAACUCUUCCUUAAGAGACUCUGAUGUUUCCUCUGCCAGUUCAAUUUGUUCCUACCAGGAAAAAGGAAAUAGGAAGUAUAGCCCUUAGACCUGACAGAUGUUGUUUCCUCCAUAAACAGGUUGCUUCGCAAUGCCGAGGUGCGUCCCUUGACUGAUUUUUUUCCUCUCCACCUUUACCUCUGACCCACAUCAGUCUUAGAGUAAAGAUGCAAAAGGCUCAAACAUGACUUCCUCUUGCAUCUUUCUGCUAGAUUGGUCCACAGUACUUGCUUUAAACCUCAUCUGAAUUGGAGCCAGGAGGGACACCUGGGUGGCUUAGUUGGUUAAGCAUCUGCUUUCAGCCCGGGUCAUGAUUCCAGGGUUCUGGGAUCAAGUCCCACAUCAGGCUCCUUGUUCAGCGGGUAGCCUGCUUUUCCCUCUGCCUGCCACUCCCCCCGCUUGUGCUCGUUCUCUCUCUGACAAAUAAAUAAAUAAAAUCUUUUAAAAAAAAAAAAUUGAAGCCUGGAAAUGAGUAUAGUGGGCACUGAUUGCCAUUGGAGAAUGCAUUUAUUGGUUCACUACAAGAUCAUCGUUACGAACACAAGGUCAUGAAGAUCCUUCAAACAGAGCUUUGCUAAGCAGAACUCCUGCCACCUGUGGUAUUCAGUACUAUCUGCCUAUCUGACAUAAAUUUCUUCAUGAGCCAUCCUUGUGGACAAUAUCUGUUGCCAGGCACGUCCUCGUCUACCUUCUGUAGAGCUAUGUAGAGCCUGUGACCCAAAACGAAUGGAGAAAUUCUAUCAGGAGUUAAGAGAUUUCUGGACUCCUCAUAGGUAAGGAUUGUGCUAGGAGAACUGAGUGCCAUUUAUUUUAAUUUAGUUACAUCAGAUGCCCCUAGUAAUAAUCCCUGGUUUGUCUUACCUCUUCAGUCAUCCUGAAUGUUCACUGCUUCUUGAGCUUUGGUGAGGGUUCUCUUUAAAAAAGAAAAAGAAAAAAAAAAAAAAGGAAGCUAAUAUCCUUAAUAUAAUAAUAUAAUAGAAAAGCAGCUCCAAAUUUUUUUCAGAUGAAAUCCCUUAUUUGUGAAAUCUGUCCAUUUCCUUCUGGGAGCCUAAUUUAGAAAGUAGUUCUUUAUUUCAUAUCUUCUGACCAGCCAGAUCAUACUUACUUUCCACACUAAAGAUGACCUCAUGCAGACUUGCCCCAUUCUCUUGUUUCCAGAAGAGCUUCACAAAGGACCCCAACACAUUGGCCAGCACCCAUGUAGAUUUGAGUGUCAGCUUUCAUGCUGGCAUGUUUGGGGGUCUUCAGUUUGUCCUAACCAUUCCCAGACACACCUACUGUCUGAAUGUUAAUAUCUUCUCUCUGGAAUUAUAUAAUUCAAUCGAUAACUUUUUAGAACACAGCCCUAAUAUACAAUAGCAGGGUUGCCAGAGCUGCCAGUAAGGAGUAAGCAGAUUGUACAUUUCAUUUGCUCUCCAGGUAAUACUAACAUUCUGGUGUUUCACAUGUGACUCCUCCAAGGACACAGGAGUGACUGUUCUAGUGGAUGAGCCAACCGUAACCCUGCCCUCUUCUUGCCAUUAGCAUAUGUCCACUCCUUGUGUCUGUUGCCAAGGACUAGACAAGAUCCUCUGUGUUCCAAAUCUGGCUUUAUUGGUGAACUUCCCACUUGCCACUCCACCUGUGACAGUUUCUGGUCAGCUGAACUUAAAUGGAUUUUGGAAAUGAAAGUGACCAGUGGUCUGUUAUGAAAUGCUGUAGUGCAUGAAAUAAGAUUAUGAGCGGGCUGGAGAAUUAACAGCAGAUACCCUAACCUGGUCUAAACAUGUGUCACUUAUUCAAGAAGGAUAAGUUCAUCCAUAGACCUAUAUCCAGAACAUUUAGGGACAUUUUCCCCUUCCUGGUCACUUAAAAACUCUGUUAGUAACAUGUGCAGAGUCAGACCUGCGUUCUUGUUCCAGCUGCACCAUUUACUGAAUGACCUUGGACAUGAUCCUUAGUUUCUCUAAAUCCAGGGCAGUCUCAGUGCAUACUAGAAUUCAGUAGAAUGGUGUUCCUAAGGUUGCACAGUGCGGCGGGCCUGCUAAACCUAACUCCCUCACCUGUAGCGAAGGCACCUUCUCUCGAGGGUUAUUGUGGUGAUCACAUACAUAUGUAAAAUCCCCAGGACUGGCGCCCUGGUAAAGAGUAAACACUCAGCGAACAACAGCUUGUGUCAUUAUUUUUAUUAUGAGUGAAAAUUCUUCUCAGGGUUUAGCUAAAAUCUAGGACUAGAACUGCAGUGUGGGCAAACCAUGGUACCCAGAGUAGGGAGGCAGGCUGCUCAUUAGCACGUGUGUUGGGAGCCGCAUUCAUAUGAGAAUCAACAAAGAACAGUGGUUAGUCCUCGCCAGUGCUCUUCACACGCCAGUCCUGUCUGUUUAAGCCAGGGAUAGCAAAUAUGCAUGCUCCUCCCAUACUCCCAUCUAGCAUCCAUGGCAGACGUUUCUAGUCACAGUACUGCUUUGGCUUGGGGCUCAGAAUCUUCUCAAAACAGGGCCCUCGGAGCUACUACCUGUUGAGUGGGUUUGGCAUUUACUCUGAUACCUAUUUGCCAUCCUUGAUCUAAGUUUUCAAAGGACUAAGUACCAUCAGGGGUUAGCAGUCAUUCUUCUAUGAAGAAAGGCCAAAGAAACAGGGUCUUUUUGCCUCUGCUUCUGCAUGGUCCUACACGUUAGAAUCCCUUCUUUUUAGGCAGUGUCACAUUCAGUGGAAAAGUAAAGGUCUGGAGGUAAUGCCACAGAGUCCUAACCUGUGCACAGAGCCUCUUCUAGCCUCGACUGUGGACAGAUAAGGUGAACCAUCACCAAGAGCCCGGAUUCUACAGAUGCCUCAUAGACAUCUAAGAAGUAAUGGCUUGAGUAUCUGCCAUGCCGAUGAGCUACCACAUGAGUAUUUAGAGGAUGAUCUGCCAAUACUCAGGGCUCUCUGUGCUUUCUUUCCAUUUACACGGGACUUCUGACCUUGCGCCUUUCCUGGUGUCACUGUGACUUGAAAAUGAGGGAUACAGGGAUGACCUAUCUAGAUCCUACCUGGCCUGGGCUUCCUUAUCCUCUGAUGGAAUAGCAUUUGCUCUUUUUUGUCCCCAUACCACCUUAGCAUGGCCACAGCAGUCUAAGAUUGCCAUAGGUUUGUCUUUGAUCUGUAUUAAAUUGGAGGGUUGGAGGAGAGUGGAGUGUCAGGCACGAGCUCUAAAGAAAGAUAUAGGUGUUAAUGAGGAUUGAAAGGGAAAAGAAAAGGAACCAAGAUAAAUCCUUUGGGACAGUCACUGCAGUAAGAACAAAAGCUAUCCAUUGAGCCAGGAAUGAAAAGUUGAAUUGGAAACAGUUUCAUUGUGCCAUUUUUCUUUCCAGGUUAGCAUAAUGCCUCCCUCUUCUCCCUUUGCCUUCUCUCAAUACAGUGGAAUCCUAUCUAGUGAUACCAGAAAAGGGUCUUGGCAUUGAAUGUACAGCUAGAAGGGGAAGAUUAUGCAAGUAAAACCCAACAGGUCCCUCCACCACUAGCAGCAGCCUGCAAUAAGCUACUUGCCUUCAAAGGUUUCUCUAGUGCUGGCAGUGUUAGGAUGCUGGUACCUCUCUGGUUAAAUAAAUCUGAAACUACUGACCCAAGAUUUUUAUAGCAGUGCUGCAACCCUAUAUGAGGAAAUGCAACAAAUAGUCCAUUACCACUGAUUGGAUAUGGAUUUUUGGCCUGGCCACUUGCCACAUGGUAAUUUUAGAAUAGGGUCACUUUCGGAAUUGGAAGAUUCCUUGUAGGAGGGUACUGGUGUUUGCUAAAUAGUGUUUCUUAUCUUCGUGCCCUCUCACAGCCACGCUCCCACCUCCUGAGUAUAGGGCCAAUCUCUCUGUCUGCCCAGCAGAGACAGCCAGAGCUCAUCCUUCAUCAGCUUACAGGGCUGCAGACGUGGCCGUUUCCAAACACCCAGGGUGCACUUAACCACUUCCUCCUUCUAAUAUCAGCACUUCCACUCUAACCACAUCAGCAGCUUUGUAACUUGUAUUUUAUUUUGCUCUGUGUUUUGGCCCUUCAGGUAUUUGUGGGAGGAACAUGGGGCGGGGCUGGGGAACUGUGUUGUCACUGAUUUCAGAAUUACAUAGUUACACCCUGAGUCAUUGUCUCUGGAGAAUCAUAUAAGCAAGUGCCAAGAGCGCCCUGAAGGGCUCUCACCCUUUUCACACAUAGGUUUUAAAGGUUGGGUUCUCUUUCAUGUUGGAUAUGUGACUGCCUGCUUGGUUUCACCAUCUGCAAAAUGGGAGCACUCGACCCUGUUGUGCCUGGAGAGAGCUGAAAGGUGAUUACUGAGGCAUGGCGCAGAGGAUCUGAGGAGCCCCUAGUUUUUCCCACUUACGUAGAAGGUGAAUAAUCACACACGAGCUGAGGUCACUGUGUGACCUGGAGAGGGACCUGUGGUUGCUUUGUUUUUUCUUCUCGCCUGCAUCUGAAUAAUUAGACCCGGUUGAUGAGACAGGAAAUGGACCUGUGGUCCCAGACCCUGAGAUGUGACCAUUCUUUACCUCACGGGCUUAGCUCUAGGCAGGUUUCCCUUUUCACCCUGCCAUAAAAUCUGCCUAUUACAUUGUCAUCUUGCUUGUCUGUGUGUGAUCAUUGUCUCAGGAUUCAGAUCAGACCUCUCACAUUUUGGCCCUGACCUCUGAUCUUUUUGAUGUGUCUCUCAGCCCAGGGUGUUUUAGAAGAUGGACUUGAACCCCAGGAACCAUGAUCUUUGUUAUUAUCAAGUAUGUUGCAAGACCGUUCUACUUUAUUAGCUUCCUGUCUGGCUUUUUUUUUGGCUGUCGACCCAAGGCUGGGGGGUUGGUAUGGCAAAGCUGGAGUUUGCUGUGGGAGCUUUUGAUUCUUGUUUUCCCAUCCAGAAUUAUAUUAGUUGUUGAGAUAACCCAGCUAGACACCACUCAAGUAUGACAACUUUAAAAAUUCAUGAGGCCUUGGGACCCAUAGCGCCUCUCAACAUACAGACUUCUAGCCUUGCAUCAAGGGAAGCCAUAUGGUUUCACACGCCCUCUUGCCCUGGUGAGGCCUCACAGGCACAUGAAGUGCAGAGGGAGGCCCUGAGACUACGCUCCACGGCCAGCUCUUCAAGGUGUGUGGAAGGGCUCUUCCUGACACAUUCACACCUGCACCCAAGCAUGCCUAACACCCAGCGACGGGGAGACCACCUCUGGGAAGAUGCAGCGUUCUCACCCUGCCCAGACUUCUUUCAUCUGUCCUUCCUUUCUGAUGCUUUCACCCUCCCCUUUGUGUUUCUGUAAUUUGUACAGUAUCGUCGAGAGGUGUUGAAGAGAUCAAUAGCAGUUCACCUUUUCCCUUAUUGAUUAAAGUGAUGGCAAGUAUAAAUGGCAGGCAGUACCAAUUCAUUCAUCAUGAGCUAUCCAUUUCCUACCAGGCCACCAGUGACCUCUCCCUGCCUGUUAGUUGCUGAGCUGUAGCUGAGAUGACACCUGUAUCUAGGCUGCUUUAAUAGGAAUGAGAGAACCACUGUGUUUGGCUCCUGUAAUCAAAGCUGAGUGAGGAAGGAGACUGCAGGUAAUGAGCAAGAAAACGACUGUGGAGCCUGUUCCUCAGCUCCACGGCUUUAUUUGAGGGGUUCACUGCACGUGCGGUGCUCUCAAGAAGAGGCAGCAUGGCAUCAGUUGAUAGACACCACCACCUCACCCAGCACUUCCUCACCCCUGUUCCUCUAAAGGGCACAGCCUUCCUUUCGUACACUGAGCGUGGGGAUCAAAAAGUCCACGACACCUGUGAACUAGCUCUGGCUUUGCUGCACGCUCAGACGUUUGUCCUUUCCGCUGGGGCUUCACACAGUAACUUGGGCUCACCCUGGGGGGAUCUGGGGUGCCUGGGGUCGAGCUUGAGUCAGGGGAUGAAGGAAGGGCCCUUGUGCUUAGGAGGGGGUCUGUAUCUACCAGAGGAUGGAGAAUGGAGACAGUUUUUAUCCGCUGCUUUCUCAACUCUAGAGACAAGCACAGGAAGGGUGUGUGUGUCUGUGUGGUGUUCUGUUCUCCCUCAUUGAAAUGCCCUCGGAUUCUUUGUUGGGAAAGAUGAUGGAAACACCCACAACCCAUGACCUUUCCGGUGCCAUGCCCUAAGUAGAGCUCAUUUUUAAAACUGCACCUCGAAUGCUAAGUACUUACUACUUCACUCACCUAGUGGGAUGACCAGGGGUCUUUGACUCCCAGGGCUCUUAAAAGGCAAGUUAGCACUGACUACAAAGGCAAAACGUGGUUAACUUAGCCGCUUUUCUCUUUGUGUAUUGUAGUUUGAACUCUGUUGCUUCCCUAACGCAUCUGUACACAUAAGCAGCUGUUGCCCACCACACCGAGCAAAGUCGUUCAGGACUGCAGAGGGGCGGAGAGAGCUUGAGUCUGCUGCCUUGCAGGGCAUGAACCAGUUCCCAGAAACUCCCGGGGGUAGAGUUUUGCCGAGGGGAAAGUAUUUGGGGGGCCACCCGGAAGCUUACCCUGCGCCAUGACCUCUACCCAGCAGAGGGAGCUACUUACCUGAGUGGGCACUUAAUGGUGACCAGUGGGACUUGCGGUUCCCCAGAGCUGCUUGUUGCCGUCAGGGAGCUUGCAGUCCUUUGUGUCAGCCCAAGUACAGAGCCAGGCUUCCAGAAGAGCACUGCCAUCACAGUCAUGUUUCCUGAGUGCCCAGUGGGUUUAGGUCACUAUUUUGGAUGCCCCUUUCCCGGUAGGAAGAUUUCACUAGAAACCCAGUGUCACUAUGUCAGGUAGCUCUGCAGUCUGCAGAUGCCAAACCUGGAGAACGCGGCCAGCUCUCUGUGAAGCUGCUUAAUUACAUGUGAAGCUGCCAGCAGGACGAUUGUUCUUUUCCCGUGGAUCAUGAAUAAACCAUGCUGGCCUGCAUAGAUGGGGCAGGGGAAGUCUCUGACAAUUCCAUCACCUUCCUCAGCUUUGUUGGACAGGUCUUCCUCCCUUUCAGUCUAAAGCACUCAAAAUGGCUGGGAAUGAGGAGAGGAAGGGAAAAGAAAAAUCUAUUUCCAUAGAAUGCACAUGUUUUUCUCCUAAGAUGGAAAGUGGCCCCCUGCUUUCAGAUUGUCUUGGCAGCCAGAGUACAAAGGGUUCGAGGCUUGCCAUGGGUAAGAAGCGCUAGUGGCUCAGCUCCUAAUAUUUGCAGCAAACUACAAACCAGGCCUGAUUUGGAGACGAGGCAACUAGUGCAGCAGAUGGCAAACAGUCCUGCCCCACUGGGGCCUGAGAUCGGCACCAUCUUCGUCCUUCAGCCAAGGCAGCCUCAUUCCUGCUUUGCCUGAGCACAGAAAGCAUUUAUGGCUUUUUAGAAACUACUUUUUUUUAGGGAAAGAUGGAAGAAGGCAAAACAAAUACAAUGUGGGAAAUUCAGUGUAGUUUGAAAUAUUUCCCUGUCAAACAGCCUAAAAUAGAGCCUUUCCUUUGUUGGGUGGAAGAAUUUAGAAUCUACAUUUCUCCAUAGAGCAUUGAGUGCAAAAAUUAAAAAUGGAUUAUAAAUAGAAAUAAAAUGACCCAUUCAGUUUCCAAGGACUUGAGUCUACAGCCUUCAGAAUACUGACUUAGAGCAUUUGAGAACUGUCGGGGCUCUAGAGGUUACACAGUCCAAUAGAAACAGUUCAUAGUAUUUGAGAAACUGAGGCAUGAGGAAGGUAAUCCUUGGGACACACUCAUGUAGUCAUGCACGUGAGAGCUAACAUCUCCACAUUCCUGUCGUAUUGAUCUUACCUGCACCCUCAUCUGCCUCCCAGACAGCCACCUGUUCAUCCACUGGCAGUACAGGUAAUAGUGGAAGACUGACAGUGGCAUAGAAAAGGGAAUGGGGUGUACGUGGUAGAGGUGGACAGAAGAGGUGAACACACGCAUUCUCUAAAUUGUAUUAUUUUGGUGAGAAAAGGACACGAGGCUAAGUCAGAGGAGGAAGUCAUCUGGGGCCUCAGCAUUCUGUAAAGAAGAUUCUUAACUAGACAGGGGUGCAGAGAGAAUGCACACAGGAUGAGAAGGCAUGCCAGAGAGGGAGGAGUACAGGUGUCUCACAAGCCUGGAAUUUUCCAUUUGCUUUUCCUGAUUACUGAUCAUAGAAAAGGUGUUAUCUUUUCAUGCCAAAAACUAAGCUUCAAAAACACCCAAAAGAAACAACCAAAAAGUACUGAACCGUUUUAAGUUAAGGGGCUUUGUUUCUCCUUUUGGAGUAGUGGGGAGGUUUACAUUGUUUGAUUUUUUAUUUAUCUUUUUUUUCCCCCUUUUUUCCCCCCCGAACAGAGAGUUGCAGGGCAGGGGUGAAAUGUGUUGCCCUCUAACUCCUUGGGCAGGACUCCAGCUCAGGCACUAUUUUCUGGUCACUUUCUCCCAGGCCACAGGAUAUCACCCCUUGCCCCCAGCAUCCUGCGCUCUUGGGCCUGCUCCCUCUAUUCUCUUAGAGGAGGCAGAUCCGAAAACUGUGCCAUGUUAGCAGGCUCUGAGCCUCGCCCCCACCUUGUAGAUGAGGCUGGUUACCCAUCUCGUUAGCAGUGAUGUCUGUGUGUCUUUCAAGGGCUUGUCAAGUGGGGGAGGAACAAAUCACAUUUUCCAGCAAUUUAAUUUUAUUAAGUCUGAUUUUUCCCCCUUUUCCAAACGCACAGCUAAAUGGAGCUAAACAUACACACAAAGGCUAUAUUUAGUCCUGAUGGUGUGGUAGAGUAGGGAAGGCACAAACAUAGAGGUUUAUCUGCUACCUAGUAAACACAGGGAGGUGUCAGGGCUGGAGAAUUCAAUACUAAUAAUAAGCAUUUAUGUGGUACAAUGACAACUUUGAUACAGGGCAUAAUUUUCUGGGGAUUGCUAUUAAUUGUGCUUCUGCCUGUGAGCGGCCCCCUAGUGAGGGGCUUGGAACACCACGCAGAGUUAAGCUAUAUUAAACAUCAAUUAAAACAUCGUAAAAUAGAAACCAAAUAAAAUAUGCAAAGGUCAGAAUGGCUGUGAGCAAGCAGACAAGGCCCUGAGGGGAGAGGGGUUAGGGCCUGGUGAGUCUAGUACACAGGGACAUUCACGCUUCUAGUUGCUCUAAGCUGCUUUGAGUUCCUAAGUUUAGUAGGUUUGCUGGACUAGCUUCCCCAAGUUCAACUCUUUCCCAAAGAGGUAUCAGAAGCAACUCAUUAUGGCCGGCAAGAAAUGCGAGAAGACAACCAGUCUACCCACACUGUCCAGCGAGACUUUCUGCGGUGAUGGAAAUGUUCUUUAUCUGCACUGUCCAGUAUAGUAGCCACUAGCCACAUACGGAGAUUGAGCACUUGAAAUGUGGGUAGUGCAACUGAGGUACAGAAUCUUUAAUAAAAUUUUAAUUUUAAUUUAAAUAGCCAUAUGUGACUAGUGACUGCCAUAUUGGAGAACACAGGACAGUCUUCGCCCACAGUAAACACUCCAGAAACGUUCAGUUUGCAUUACACUCUUCUUUCUAAACCAAUCUACACCUUCCCCCAUACCUCUGAAUGGUUACUGCUUGUUUUUUGACCCAGUCCUCCCAUGCUCUUGACUUAAGCUUCCAGAUUCUUUCAUAAGGGUCAUACACAGCGCCAAGAAAUGAGAAAGGUCAAUGCCUGCAUCAAACCAGACAGACGUGGCCUUAUCCUUGCCCCCUUUUCUCCUGGUAUCCCCCAGUCAAGCUAAUACCAGGUGUUUCCCACUCCCCCAGGCAAAAAAGAAGGGAAUAACUCUGGAUCUCUGGUUAAAUGAAGAUCGCAGAUCCGUGGUGCUAUCCCCCUGAAAGUCUGAUUCAGUCGCUGAGUCUGACCCUUGAAUUCUGCAGAACCAGGGGAUUAUAAAUUUCCCAGGUCAUCCAGGGAACUCUCACCUGACAUUCUUUGGUCCCUUUGGCACCUAAACUGAAAACACCUUUUCCAAUAGCUCUUUAAACACUCAUUGAAUGCUUAGAAAGGAUCCAUUCAUUGGGAUGACACAGUAUAGAACAGAGCACUCUACUUGUAAUAAAAAAUCCCAUGUGUAAGUCCUAGCUCCUCUACUUACUAAAUCUGUGACCUUGACAAAAGAUCAUUUAACCUCUCUGAGGCUUCAUCUUCCCACAUAAAAAUGAGCGUGCUAGAUUGAAUGACCUCUAGGACUGAGAAGACCUAGAAAAGAGAUCCAGAGAAAGACACCCUAGUUGCCAUGAAGUCCUAUACCUCACUCAGUUCCCCCUUCAGAUGUCAGGCAUGCAUUUCAAGCACCCCUUUCCUGAGUCUGCCAAGAUGCCCACCUGUGUCUAGUUAGCACUGACUCAAACUCGGAAGUUUUCCGGCAGCACAGACACACCCUGAGCCAGACUGGGUGGCACUGUCGCACUCAUGUGAACCUCGAGGAGUCCUGAACAGUCCCCAGUUAGUUUGAGGCAUCCUCAGUGGUAGCAUUUUGGUCCGUCGUGGGAAGAAGGCAUGAGGUUUCUUGGCUUGGGCACCGGGUCCAUAAAGCAAAAGAGGGGUUUGGGAGUUACCUGUGUGUGCCAGUCAUCUUGGCUGGCUGGUUGUCUGCCAGCCCCCCUCCACCCAGCAGUCACUAGUUACUGCUCCGGGGAUUGUCCCCAGCCGCCCAGAGCCCCUGCGGAGCUGCCAACUCCACACAGCUCACAAAGGGCCCUGUAGCAUCUCUAAUUGAAGAGCUGGUGAACGGACGCCCUCAGUAGAGGUAUUUUUAGCUGCAGUGAUACAGCCUCAUCGUUUCUGGUGGAUGUUUUGUUUAGUUAUUUUUUAAAUAAAAUAAAUAGUUAAAAUUGAAGACUGUGGUCCCAAACCCUAGUGCCAACGCCCAAGAAGUUUUGGCACACCCCCUCACCGCAGGCCUAAUUAAUCCUGUCUAAGACCAGGUGCUGAAGCUCUGAGUUUGCCAGAAUAUUAGGCCAGAGAGACAGCGUGUACAGAAGGGAGAAGAGCUAGAAAUAGAGAGGAGGCAUAAUACAGGCUGGCCUGGUGUGAGGUGCUGAGGUUCCCUCUGAGCAGACUGGGCAGCUGGGAACAACUCUAUCCAGGCCUCUCAGACCUUUGAUGGAUCUAGGGGAUCAAGUGAGCAGGCCUCAGCUCCUUGCAUUAUACAGUAGAUCCCAUUCUGUACCUUGCUGACUUAGAGAGGGACUCCAGGGAGGGAGGGGGGUGGGGCAGAGGGAGAGAGAGAAUCUUAAGCAGGCUCUGCCCCCAGCAUGGAGCCCAACUCGGGGCUCAGUCUCAUGACCUUGAGAUCAUGACCUGAGCUGAAAUCAAGAGUCUGACACUUAACUGACUGAGCCACCCAGGUGCCCCUUGUUUCCUUCACUUUAUCAUGUUCUGUGACUUGCCACCUUUUCAUUGGCUUUUUUUAUUGUGUACCAUGUGAUCAGGGGUGAAAGGAUAUUCACGGAGUUCUCAUUAGCCCCCCAUAGCAGGAUCCUGAGUGGAUGGGGCAGUGGUUCUCAACCCUGGCUGCACACUGGAAUCUCGGAGUGAGGGAGGUCCAGGAAAGAUGCUCAUACCUGGGCCUCCCUGCGAAGAUUCUGGUUUCACGGGGUACCAGCUUUUUAUUUUAAGUUCCCCGGGCAUAUUAGGUGAUACCAAAGAAUAGUUUGUUGAUUGUGUUCAGUGCGAUAAUGGCAUGGUGGUUAUGUAAGAAAAUGGCUGUUUUUUAGAGAUGCAUACUGAAGUUUGGAAAGGUGAGGUGACAUCAUGUCUGGGAUGUGCUUUAAAAUACAUCAGCAAAGAGAAAGGGGGAUAGAUGAAGCAGAUCUGUUUUGAUAAUUACUAAAUCUGGAUGGUCAGUAUAUGGGAGUUCAUUACUAUUCUCUAGUUCCAGUGUUUCGAAUUUUUCAAAUCAAAGUUUUUUUUAGUAAUAAAAAAUGUUUUUAAAAAACUUAGAAUCUCUCCAGGGGAUUCUAACGUUCAGCUAAGGUUGAGAACCAAUGGUUUAGAAGAUUAAAUUUGGAUUCCCACACCCUAGAUCGGCUCUGACUUGGGGCUUUGCAUGAGGUAAGCGUGACCUUUCAGGAUAAGUUCCUAUAAGUAAUAUGGACCCUCAGCUCCUGAGGAGGUGAAGAACGGCGUGGGCCCAAAGAACAGAUGACACCUAGAAUCAGAAUUCAGAGUGGACAACUGGGCCACUUUCUUCUACUGACCUCAGUACCACCCAUCCCCAAAAGCUGUUGUGCUUUGGGCCUUCCUGGCCUUGUCACUUGCCAGUCCUCCUACCAUACACCCUGAGGACCUCUCUUGCCACACCAGGGCAAUAAAAGACCACUACAUGGUGACACAUGCACAGGAGGGUCCUGAUUUCCUUAGUGUUCAGCGCUUUACCUAGUGAGAUUUUGCUGAAGCUAGAGGGAGGGGCGAGGGGGCUGAAACUGCACCUCCCUGCCCCUCCCGGGAGUCCACGUGCUUUCAGUCCUGUGUGCAAGUGUGUGAGGGCUCUUUUGUGUCCUCAGCACCUGUCCCAACUCCCAAGCAGUAUUUUGUUCUGGCUGCUCAGCAGGUGGGAUAAACAGAAGCUUGCUGCAGCCCAAGUAAACGGUGCUCUGGAGCUCUGGCUGGAAGCUUCCAUGCUACAUUUAAAUACCAUAGCCUGGCUUAGGACACUGACUUAGCACCUCUCCAUUCAUGAGCAAGCUGCUGGCUCUUCUCUAUGCAGGGGGCUUUGUGAAGUAUAUCUAUAAGCAAGUCUGUGUGUUGCUAAGGGAAGCUGAAGCAGAGGGAACGCUACAGACUGCCCAAGGUCACUCGACCAGCCCAGAGCUUUGCUACCAGUAGUAUUUACUGAGUGCCUGGGUGUCCUUCUUCCCACUUCCUGGGGAAGACUUGGAACAGUCCUUUCAGCAAAUGCCAGCUUGAGAAAGGUGCAGAAGUCACCCCCUGCACCUCUGUAGGAGGGCCCAGAGCAUCUGUCUUUCCCCAGGGUCUGAAUCACUAUUGGUCCUACCACUAUUCAGUGCGAACAUUCAGAAUUCAAAUGGGCAGUCUCUUCCUCUGCCCACUCAGAACAAGUAGCCUCAGAGUCACUAAAAUUCAAAACUCCGAGCCGUAUGGCCUUCACUGGACCGUUUGGGUGGGAGGAGGCAGAUUUCCCUGACUCUCUUAUGCUCCCUAAUACGUAUCUCCCUGUUGUCAGCCUUGGGCUCUCCAUCUUGUUGCUUCCCCCACUGUAGGAGCUCUGCAAGGGCAAGAACCAAGUCUUUCGUCUCCAUCGUUCCCCAGCACCUGGCACAGUGCCAGUCACUGCACUGGCUCUAAAUAAGCAUAUAGAUGAGGAAGCGAACCAGAGGAGGGCUAUGGCAGGGAAUGCCGCUAGGCUAAGGGUCAGAAACCUGGCAUUUUAAAAAGUAGUUUCUCAUCCAUUCGGGCUUAUGAACCUGAACUGUGUGGUGAUCUUGAGCCCCACCUGAGUUAGCUUGUCGAGCAGCCUAUGCGACUAGGGAGGGCUUCUGACCAUUCACGGCUAGAGAGAAACAUGCUCUUUGGUUCUCUUUCCACUUUCCUUUGGAAUAAAUGAUAUGUCCCUGUGCCUUGGUUUCUUCCAUUUGAUAUUCAUGGGCCUCUGAGCAGUCUGUCCCCUCCCCUCCUCACCUGGGACUCUGAGGAGGGUGACAUGUUUGCAGGAAGGUUUCCUUUGUUUUUCCAGGGCAGUCAGUCAAUUGACACUUGUCCAGCUCUCUCAGAAGUUACUCCUCCCGAACCUCAGUGAAACCUCAGGGGCACUAGCUCAGCUAAAGCAAAACUAUGUACAAGAAGCACUUCUGUCCUUAGUGACAGGACAGUCCUGCCUGUCAGAAACCAGCGUGACCACAGAGUCUUUCCCUGUUCCCUCUAGACUCGAAAGCAGGGGUUCUAAUCCUGAGCCUGCCCUUGAAUCACCUGGCUAUAUUUUUAAAAUAUCGAAAUCCUGUCACCACUCCUGGAGAUGCCUCUACAUUUGAUCUAGAGUCUGAACGUUGGGAUUUUUUAACAGCUCCUCAGUGCUGGCAAUGUAUACUUGGGACUGAGAACCAUUGUCUCAAAGCGUCUUCACUAGAAGGAGAUUUGAUAGCACUUGAACGUCCCACUGCUGGCCUUGCCCUCCCCACCACCACCCACCCUGGACUGUGGAAGAGGAAAGCAUGCAUUUGCCUCUUUUGCACACCCCACGUCACCGUCCUUAGCUGGUUCUGAGGCACCGUUCCCAGGCUGUGCGAUUGAUGGUGCAGUAUGGUUGGGUCCCCCGCCCACACCCCACACACACUCUCUCUCACACGGCCCACUGCUCUUAACCUUGGGCAGGUGACUGGAGCAGAGAUAGAUUAUCUGUGGACAAUAGUUUGAUUUUGUUUUAGAGGGCAUUAGUGAGGGAGAACAGUCCAGAACUGUCUUUGCAAUUUAAGGUGAAUAUUUCUUUAAGAUUUUAGCUCAAAGAAUGCUUGCCCACAGGCUCCCAAAUAGCACAUCCCAUCCUUCGGCAGCAGAAGAGUCUGCCUUAGCAGUGAAAAGCAAGGCCAGACACCAGUUGAAAUCCCAGACAGCUUCCUACCCUUCCUCCAUAUCUUGUCAGAUAUUUCAAGCUUUAAGUCCUUAUUCGUGCUCUGCCUACUUGGCUGGCUGUUCUUGCACUUGAGCGGCUUGUUUGCCUGGACAGGUCCAAGCUGUCUGAGCCAUCAGCAGCUGCACCUCCUCCCUCGCGCCUUCUGUCUGAGCCAACCUUGAUUCACAGUAGUGCAGAUGGCCCCAGCCUUAUCCAGCGACGUCUGCCACUCCCAUCCCUCUCCUGCCCUGCUUUCCCCCAGAUGAAGGGGCUGGGCCAGCCCCUGGCCACUGGUCAACCUGGGGCUAAGAUGAAGACGACUCUUAGUUCAUGCCCUGGCAUAUUAACCUAGGAAACAUGAUAAAAAUUGUAUCUGAAGCACAUAGAAAAAGGGUACAGGAGGGUCUGAGUUCACGUUGUGUAUAAGAUACUUUACAGCCUGCAUCAGAGCUAAUCUGUUUUUGCAAAUAUGCUUAGUUCCACCCACUCUGCUUCCUAAGUAUUACUGGGAGCAGAGAGAGAGGAGAGAGCCGGUGCCAGAAAGCACCUUUCCUUCUCUUCCUCCCCUUUCCUCCCUUAAAUGCAGACUUGACAACUUCUUAGUGCACCACUGCUCAGUUCCUCAGUCCAGUUUAAGGUGCUGAAAGGUAGUGCCCUGUAAUACACCACUGUAAUCAAUUCAUUUCCCUUCUCCUUGUCCGUCGGCAAGAGAAAUGAAGUGACAGGUAACAAAUGCGAACGGGGUCGUGGGUGACCUUGUACAUGAGAAGGAUCUGCCGCAGUAGCCCUGGGGCCUCACUGCCUUUCCCCGUGGCCCCUCUCUGCUGAGCUGGACAAGGCACAGGAAUCAGGGUGUCCCGUCUAGCAGGCUCUCAGAGACAGACCCACAGCCAGACCCCGUAGCAACGGCCAGCAGCGGGAGGGAGUGCUGCGGCAGCAGUCUGCUCCACCUGUGUGGCUUGCAUGGGGCACACAGAGCAAAUACAGCAGCUCAUUUGGCUCAUCUGUAAACCUAAGGGACCCCAGCAGCUUUGGAAUGCCAUUGGUUCAGCAGUACUAACAUUCACAUGUUUCAUCCUGAGGCUUACUUAGCUGUUACACACAUUAUUUCAAGGCUUUUUUUCUCGAUGAAGAAAACUGUCCCAGUCCUAGGCUGCUUAAACAGGAACAUAAGCCCCCAAAGCCAACCCUUUUUAUAGGGUAAUAUCGGGACUGAGAUGUAUUCCCUGGGGUGUUUUCUUCAGGAUAGGACAUUUUUAAUCCUUAAUAAUGAUAAAAUAUCUCUGUUGGCACCCAAGGACCAAUAACAUACUGA
Ailuropoda melanoleuca (giant panda) is the source of this 18791-nucleotide long non-coding RNA. RefSeq lists it as uncharacterized. NCBI's taxonomy places the organism in Eukaryota, Metazoa, Chordata, Mammalia, Carnivora, Ursidae. The transcript has 2 exons. The record is from RefSeq and is a predicted model, not a curated record.